UAGUAGUUGAGUGACAUUAAAUUUAAAGAAUUUGGCGGUGUUUUAAUCUGUUCAGAGGAAUUUGUUUUAUAAUAGAUAAUUCACGUUGAAUCUUACUUAAUUUAUAAAGUUUAUAUAUCGCUAUUUAAUUAAAUUUUAUUAGAAGUUGAUGAUUAUUAUGUUAUAAAGUAAUUUAAGUCAAGGUGUUGCUAAAUAAUUGAGAAAAAAUGAGUUACMUUAUUAAGGAAAUUUAUGGAUUUUAUUUUGGAUUGAGUAGUAUGAAGGUGGAUUUGAUAGUAAUUUUAUAAAGAUUGUUAGGGUGAUUAAAAAGUUUAAGGUGUGUACAUAUGC
This 330-nucleotide ribosomal RNA is filed under the name Attaphila sp. B MD-2018. RNAcentral's name for it is "partial small subunit ribosomal RNA". The record is from RNAcentral. Lineage: Eukaryota; Metazoa; Arthropoda; Insecta; Blattodea; Blattellidae.